This 482-nucleotide ribosomal RNA is filed under the name uncultured bacterium. Its description in RNAcentral is "partial 16S ribosomal RNA". It matches the Rfam family "Bacterial small subunit ribosomal RNA", at positions 30 to 507 of the family's 1533-position model. The record is from RNAcentral.
AUUGAACGCUGGCGGCAUGCCUUACACAUGCAAGUCGAACGGUAACAGGUCUUCGGAUGCUGACGAGUGGCGAACGGGUGAGUAAUACAUCGGAACGUGCCCAGACGUGGGGGAUAACGAGGCGAAAGCUUUGCUAAUACCGCAUACGAUCUAAGGAUGAAAGCAGGGGACCGCAAGGCCUUGCGCGUUUGGAGCGGCCGAUGGCAGAUUAGGUAGUUGGUGGGAUAAAAGCUUACCAAGCCGACGAUCUGUAGCUGGUCUGAGAGGACGACCAGCCACACUGGGACUGAGACACGGCCCAGACCCCUACGGGAGGCAGCAGUGGGGAAUUUUGGACAAUGGGCGAAAGCCUGAUCCAGCAAUGCCGCGUGCAGGAUGAAGGCCUUCGGGUUGUAAACUGCUUUUGUACGGAACGAAAAGGCUCUGGCUAAUACCUGGGGCACAUGACGGUACCGUAAGAAUAAGCACCGGCUAACUACGUG